AAGCCCCGGCAGCGUAUUACUCUGCGUCUCUGGAUUUGCAAUCCAACGUGUGUACUCCACCACGAGGCU
This 69-nucleotide transfer RNA is filed under the name Macrhybopsis tetranema (peppered chub). RNAcentral's name for it is "tRNA-Cys". Lineage: Eukaryota; Metazoa; Chordata; Actinopteri; Cypriniformes; Leuciscidae. The record is from RNAcentral.